UACAUACUGUGCGAACGUUAUUCGGAUUUACUGGGCUUAAAGGGUGCGUAGGCGGCUUGUUAAGUAGGGUGUGAAAGCCCCCAGCUCAACUGGGGAAUUGCACUCUAUACUGAUGAGCUAGAGUGAGAUAGGGGUGUGUGGAACUGCCAGUGGAGCGGUGAAAUGUGUUGAUAUUGGCAGGAACGCCGGUGGCGAAAGCGACACACUGGGUCUCAACUGACGCUGAGGCACGAAAGCCAGGGGAGCGAACGGG
This 253-nucleotide ribosomal RNA is filed under the name uncultured bacterium. RNAcentral's name for it is "partial 16S ribosomal RNA". It matches the Rfam family "Bacterial small subunit ribosomal RNA", at positions 524 to 776 of the family's 1533-position model. The record is from RNAcentral.